RNAcentral lists this long non-coding RNA (3007 nucleotides) under Homo sapiens (human). RNAcentral describes it as "non-protein coding CPEB2-DT:19". Lineage: Eukaryota; Metazoa; Chordata; Mammalia; Primates; Hominidae. The record is from RNAcentral.
AUACGCCUCGCCGCAGAACAGGGGCCCAGGACUGCUACUUCGGAGCGGGGCGGUCUGCAGCACCCCAAACCCGAAAUCCCUCAUUUAUCAGGCCGCCGGCAGCGGGAGGAGACGCUCCUCGUCCCCUGCCCCACCUAGGAAGCCGCCGGCGCUGGGGUUGCGCGGCCGUGGUGGAAGGAGGGGGAGUCAGUGAGAGAGGGACACCGUGACUGAGCCAGGGGGCACCGACUUCGGCCCCACCACCCCUCGCGGCGAUCGCCGCCGCCGCCGCCGUCGCAGUCGCCGUAGCCGCCCUGGCCGCUUAAGAACCCCGGAACGUGCGUCAGCGCCACCUCACAAUCGCGCCGCCCCCCGCGGUGCGUCCCGGCACGCGCGGGCGCGAGGCCACCGCGUCCCCGUCGCCCCUCCCCGCCCCUCAUUACUAUGCAGACGCAGCCGAGGGCGCGCUCGCGCUCCCGGGAGGGCGGGAGCGAGCGGCGUGUCCCGUUGGGUCUCUCCGCUCCCGGGGAAAUGGACAGGCCGGUUGGGGUGGGGGUCGGCUGGCAAACAGUGGUCGGGAGCAUUGGGCGGGCGCGCGCACGAGGGCAAGCACGCGCGGGAGGGAGGGACGGUUCCUGGGCAACGGCCCCUCCUUGGCGCGGGAUCCGCGCAGAGUCUGCCUGGGUCGCACGCGUCUCCGCCCCUCGCGGUGCCUCCUCCUUCCUGUCACCUCGGUUCCGCCCUGGGUGGGGAGAAGCCCUGCUGCACCACUCGGGCUUCCCAGAGCGGGGCUGGCCCGCGGGGGAAACUGAGGCCCGGGACCCCGACCGGCGCCUGCACUGUGCGACCCGCGUAGAAAUAGGCGCCCGAGGGGCCCCCAGCGCAACGCGGGAGCCCGGCCCAGCCCGGGGGUCCUGUGGUGAACUAGCGUCUGGGCUCUGCCGGCUUGAAGUCCGCUGAGCGCCUCGCCGCGCACCUCUAGACCCCGAGUCCCCGAUCUAGGGCCUCCUUGUAGCCCUAGGUAGCGCCCUCUAAGCUUGUUUCUGUUUUUAGGCGCUGGUAGGAGUGCUGUCACCGACGUCGUAGAGCCGCCGAGGGUGUUUCUGUAGGGUAAACAUGAAGCCUCGGCUAUAUUCCAGGCAUUUUCACUUGGGUAAGAAGGAACAAAGUCCCUGGAACAAACACGCUCCGCGUGGUUAUUUACACACUCGGAUGCGUGGAACGGGUUCCACGGCGAGCUCCCAUAGUAACCCCGGGCCAGCUCCGCUUCAUAAAAGCCUUUCGUGUGCCAUCAGGGCUGCAGCGUGGGACUCCUCCCCACCACAUUCAUUCCGGCGUCCCCGCCCCUUCCCCCCAGGGAGACUCUAAUUUAUUCCUAAGCUUUAUGAAUUUUCAAGGGAGAAAUAGUUCUUACAUCAGGGAAAAAAGGAGGUUCUGACUCAGCAGCAGACUUGUUGAGACUUGCAAAAUGGAAGGGAGAGAGCUUUCCAUGGUAGAGCUCUUUAGAAGCAUUAGAGGAGGAACUAAUCCUGUGUUUCCUUUUGUAUAGAAACAUUUUACAUAAAGUAUUUGAAGGUCUAGAUAAAGAAUAACAGAGUGAUCCAUACUACAUGAUGAGGUGAACUUUAUGUUUCUGUUUUGUAAUUUUAACUGUUUUGCUUGAUGCUUAGAGAAAUGAAACUAUUAAAUGAAUCCUAGAAUAUAGACUCAAACCCCCAAAGCAAUAGAAGGUGGAUUCAGACUUUACUUGAUUUUGGUUUACAAGUGAACUAAGAUUAAAUAUUUAAUUUUAUAAAUUAGCAUACUCUUACUGAUGUAGGCAGAGUGUACAUUUUUAUAAGUCCUCAUUCUCUAUUUGAAUUCUACUUCUGUUCAGUGUCUCAAAUUUAUAUAAAUCGAAAUAAACAUGGUAGAAAGAGAGCAACAUUGCCCCAGGGAACUAUACUUCAUGUAUAAUGUUUAUCUCUGCUAUCCUGUCCAAUGAACCAAGUUUUAUGUUGCCUUUACAAUAAGGAAAAAGUACUUUUUAAAAAACUCAAAUGGUUCAGAAUUUGGUCAGGUGAAUAGAAAAUUGGUUCAACUUAUUAAUCUCAAAAUCAUUUUUAACAGUCAGGCAAAAUGUAGAACUGGAGAAGUAUUUUUAUUCUAAAUUACAAUGUCUAGAAAAUAACCUGAGCUCAGAAUUUAAAAUAUAAAUGGUUAUUUUCAGAGUAUAUAUUGACAUAUUAAAUAUUCAUUUUUUAAAAGGUAUUGUGCAGGAAAAAAAACUACUUCUGCAACUAAGGAAUGUAAAGUCUUAACAACGGAUGAUUUUUUUCCAAGUACAGUUGUAUUUGAUUGGAAUCAUUUGCAGAUCCAACAACAAAUCUUGAAAUAGGGGGAAAAUACAGGUAUAAACCUUAGCUCAAUUAUCCACUAACACCGCAGUUAGUAAAGAGGAGAGAGCACAUACUUUUAAAAGCUAACUGGUGCCUUUCUGGGCUAGAGUUUUGAACAAAAACAAGAUUUCUUAGUGCUCUGGUACUAGUUUUGUCUUAGAGGAUUUAGAGCUCUCUGAAACGGGGAAAAGCCAUCAAGUUUGUUAUUACAUAAUAAUGUCAAACUUCAUAUUAAAUACACCAAAUUCCAAAUCCUGCCAGGGCCUCUACUCACUACUUUUGUGAGGGCCCCAUUUUUUUAGAGCAGAAAGUUACUUUCUGACAUCUUGUAAGCUGGUGAUCUUGCCCUUAUUGAAAAUAUUCAAAUGAAAAGGUUUCCUAGGGUGGAGAGUGGAGUGGGGUAGGGAGAAGGAGCAGCAAAUACUGAGGAGGGACUAUGGUCCUCUAGCAGUUUCCAUGCCAAGAUCUUAUGAGUCCAUUCAAUGAUUUUUUUGGUUUUUUACAUGAAAAUAUUUUGACUCAUGAUCAUUAACUAGGACCUUGACUUUGUAUUUGACAGUCCCUUAUUCAUUUACUCCCACUGUCCUGGGCAAGUAUUUUUAAAAGUAUUUUUGCUACAACCCAAUAUAUGUGCAAGUACACACUCAUGC